GGAAGGAGACUGCGCUGACGGAGGAGGAGGGGGCAUCAGAAGGAGAUUGCACCGAUAGGGUGCGGGGCAUGGUUUCAGAGAGACUGCGCUGCUAGAUGCGUAGCCCUCAAUGGUCUUGAAUGGAGGUUUGUUGUCCUUAAUUGAAGCUCCCACCCACUUCCAACAGUGCUCUCCCCUACCCCUUCACAUCCUCUCAAAAUAUCCUGACAGCAUUACAGGUGUUCUUAUAGCAGCAGUUCAAUAAGACAGCUCACCACCAGCUUCUUCAGGCCAACUAGGGAUAGGCAAUAAAUUCCCCGAUCCCCACUCAUCUACUUUGGCUCCUGCUUGAGCAAUAUUGCGACUUAAAAAUUCUCAUCCCUUGUUUUCAAAUCCCUCCGUCACCUCUCCUCCUCCUUUCUCUUAGAUUCCAAUUCUCCAAUAUAUCGGCACUCUUCAAAUUAUGGCCUUUUUGAGAACUUCCAUCAAUAGGUGUUGGGACUGUCCAUGAUAGAACAGCAUAAAAUGGCCAACGAAAGCCCCAACAAGCUUUGCAGUACAUGUUUAACAGAAAUUAUAAAGUGUGGGAUGCGCUUGCUUAAAGUAGUCUCAGCACAUGUAACACUGACUGCCCGUUUUCUCACUAAGAUUGGAUAUGCGACAUUCUUUGCCCAUUAAAAACGUUUCCCACCAGUCGUUUCUCUUAAAAUUUCUCUAAUCAAUCAGUUAUAAUACGACAAGUAGGUUUCAAUUAAGGUUCUUCAAGAUAAUCCUAGAUGUAUUUUCCAAAAUAUAAAAUCACCAAAAACAUUAGAAAGAAAGGUUUAAAAAAACUAAUUACAAGGGGCCUCCCUUAUCUCAUAGCAAGGACAGCGGCUAGAAGAAUAACCAAACACAGAUGUCAUAGUUGAGAGAUAAAAGGUUACUGUAAUCAUAGAGAUGUCAACUCCUCACACACCAAAAGGGCCCAAUCAGAUCACAGCAAUUAGCAAUUACUAACAGACUCUACACCUUGUUAUCUCAGACUCCAGCAUUGGCAGUUCUUACUAUCUCUGAGUGAGAACUAACAUAGAGUGAUAUACCAAAAGCCCAAUCACAGUUGGACAACCUAGCACUAAUUAACCAAUAGCAUAUAGCGGGAGGGAGUAUGUGCCACCAUGUUAAAGUUAGAAGAAAAUGUAUAAAAGGCAAUUUACUUGUAUUUGAAAUUAGAGCGUCAUUGACUUUUCUUCCGAUCUGAACCGAAGAUUAAGGGGGUAAUUGGACUCUCACAUCAAGGCCAGAUUCAGGAUGAUCUUUGGCCUCUGCCUGCAUUGGAUUGGCAGAUGCUUGAAUAAAUUACCACGUGCGUGAACUCCUAAAAUUUAUUACCCAUUGAAAGGUCGCUCCUACAACAUGGAAUUCAGGGCUAUCUAAAGGGCUGUGUUAGUCUGUGCUGGAGCCAGGGAGAAGGGGUUCAGAGAAGCACCACCCACACAUACACCAAGACGAUGUCAGUGAAUCAGUCGGUGACUUUAUCACUUGCAAUGAGUCAGACAUUCUGAAUUAAACUGCAUCUGGAGUUGUGUGUGUGUCGUUUGGGUAUUCUUAACUCAGGACUGAUAUUAUUGCCUUAGAGGGAGUGCAAUGAAAAUUCACCAGACUUGUUCCUGGAAUGGUGGGAUUAUUUUAUGAAGACAGAUUGGGCAAACUGAGCCUGGAUUCUCUACAUUUUUGAAGAAUGAAGCAUGAUUUCAUCAAAAGCCACAACAUACUUAAAAGGGAUAACAGGGUAGGAGGUUUCCCCUCAUUGGGAUAUUUAGAACUAAGAGCACCAUUUAAAAACAAGGGGGAUGACAGUUAGGUUUGAAAUGAGAAGAAAUUUUAUUUAUGCAGAGGGUUGUGCCCCUUAGGAAUUCUCUACCACAGAGGGCCGGGAAGCUCAAUCUUUGAGUAUAUUAAGAUAGAGAUUGAUAGAUUUCUUAUUCCCAAUGGUGGACAGGGUCAUGUGGAUCAGGUGAAUACAAAGGAUCGAAGUGAUUGAUUAGUCAUGACCAUAUUGAAUGGCUGAGCAGGUUCAAUGGGCUGAAUAGUCAACUCCUGUUCCUGUGUUGUGCGAUGCAAACUGAAACCUGGUGUUAAGGAAUAAAUUAAAACUGGUCUCCAAAA
This is a long non-coding RNA of Rhincodon typus (whale shark), 2127 nucleotides long. RefSeq lists it as uncharacterized. The transcript is spliced from 2 exons. Lineage: Eukaryota; Metazoa; Chordata; Chondrichthyes; Orectolobiformes; Rhincodontidae. The record is from RefSeq and is a predicted model, not a curated record.